This 497-nucleotide ribosomal RNA is filed under the name uncultured bacterium. RNAcentral's name for it is "partial 16S ribosomal RNA". It matches the Rfam family "Bacterial small subunit ribosomal RNA", at positions 28 to 507 of the family's 1533-position model. The record is from RNAcentral.
GAUGAACGCUGGCGGCGUGCCUAAUACAUGCAAGUCGAGCGAACAGACGAGGAGCUUGCUCCUCUGACGUUAGCGGCGGACGGGUGAGUAACACGUGGAUAACCUACCUAUAAGACUGGGAUAACUUCGGGAAACCGGAGCUAAUACCGGAUAAUAUAUUGAACCGCAUGGUUCAAUAGUGAAAGACGGUUUUGCUGUCACUUAUAGAUGGAUCCGCGCCGCAUUAGCUAGUUGGUAAGGUAACGGCUUACCAAGGCGACGAUGCGUAGCCGACCUGAGAGGGUGAUCGGCCACACUGGAACUGAGACACGGUCCAGACUCCUACGGGAGGCAGCAGUAGGGAAUCUUCCGCAAUGGGCGAAAGCCUGACGGAGCAACGCCGCGUGAGUGAUGAAGGUCUUCGGAUCGUAAAACUCUGUUAUUAGGGAAGAACAAAUGUGUAAGUAACUAUGCACGUCUUAACGGUACCUAAUCAGAAAGCCACGGCUAACUACGUG